CUAAUGCUACCGUUUCUAGAGCACUCACAUAGAACUAUGCAUAAGCUUAAGUCUUUCUACUUUGGACAACUUUCACCCACUACAAAUUUAGCAUAUUAAAUUGACUGGUCCAUGCCUAAGCAAAGUGCUAUUAGAACACGUAUAGUUGUAAUGGCUGGCCAAGAAGGCCCUACAAUUACAAGAACAAAAAGAAAAAGUGCUACUCAACAUGGUGGUUCGACAUUGCUUGAUCUUCUGCAGGCUCUAGAAGAUUAUUUGCCGGUUCUUUUGGGGUUAGUCAAUGAUGGAAGCCAUUUACAAUAUAAAGUAUAAUUUGUUUGGGUGAAUCAAGAGGAUGAUGCUGAGGUAACUCCAACCAUUUUUCAUAAUAUGUCUAAUGGUUGGUAUGAAGUGUUGUCAGUUUUACAUUUGAUGGCAAUGCUAUUACUAUUACAGGCUAAUUUUUUACUGCUUCCAAGAUCAUCCACUGAUGGUUAUCAGCUUAAGGUAUCUGAAGAAAGCAGACGAGCUUCUGUUGAUAUCUUCUUAAAGGCUGCUGGAUAUCUGGAUUGUGCUGUCAAACAUGUUCUUCCCCAGUUGCCGGCCGAACUCAGGAGGAAUUUACCAGUAGACUUAGCAGAAGGAACGCUUCGAGCACUCUCUCUACAGGCAUUAGGAUAUUGGCCAAGUGUAAUUUGUGACAUUCAUGUAACAUUGAGAUGGUCAUCUUAUUUUUUUUGGGUAUUUUUUUAUUAAGACAAUGAGAUAUUGGCCAAUGAUGUUGAAAAAUAACAUCCAAUUUUAUAGGUAUCAUGUAAUGAAUAUUAUGUUUAUUUAUGUGAUUUUUGGCUUUCUUUUUUCAA
Arachis ipaensis is the source of this 842-nucleotide RNA transcript. RefSeq lists it as uncharacterized. NCBI's taxonomy places the organism in Eukaryota, Viridiplantae, Streptophyta, Magnoliopsida, Fabales, Fabaceae. The record is from RefSeq and is a predicted model, not a curated record.